CGUAACUAUAACGGUCCUAAGGUAGCGAAAUUCCUUGUCGGGUAAGUUCCGACCCGCACGAACGGUGUAACAACUGGAACAGUGUCUCAACGAGGGACCCGGUGAAAUUGAAAUACGAGUGAAGAUGCUCGUUACCCGCAGCAGGACAAAAAGACCCCGUGGAGCUUUACUGCAUCUUGGCAUUGAGUUUGGGCAUUGUCUGUGUAGAAUAGGUGGGAGGCUGUGAAGCUGGAGCGUUAGCUUCGGUGGAGCCACCCGUGAAAUACCACCCUGAUGAUGUUUAGACCCUAACCCCAUUCCGUUAUCCGGAUGGGGGACCGUGCCAGGUGGGCAGUUUGACUGGGGCGGUCGCCUCCUAAAAAGUAACGGAGGCGCCCAAAGGUUCCCUCAGGCUGAAUGGAAACCAGCCAGAGAGUGUAAAGGCAUAAGGGAGCUUGACUGCAAGACCAACGCGUCGAGCAGAGACGAAAGUCGGGCUUAGUGAUCCCACGGUACCGUGUGGAAGGGCCGUGGCUCAUCGGACAAAAGCUACCCCGGGGAUAACAGGCUGGUGAGGCCCAAGAGUUCAUAUCGACGGCCUCGCUCGGCACCUCGAUGUCGGCUCAUCGCAUCCUGGGGCUGGAUAAGGUCCCAAGGGUCGGGCUGUUCGCCCGUUAAAGCGAUACGCGAGCUGGGUUCAGACCGUCGUGAGACAGGUCGGUCUCUAUCCGCUGUGGGCGCAAGGGAUUUGCGAGGAUCUGCCCCUAGUACGAGAGGACCGGGGUGGACAGACCUCUGGUGUGCCAGUUGUCGUGCCAACGGCAUCGCUGGGUAGCUAUGUCUGGCAAAGAUAACCGCUGAAAGCAUCUAAGUGGGAAACUUGCCUCAAGAUUAGAUCCCUCAUCCCAUUAAGGGAGUAAGGCCGCAGGAAGACCACCUGCUUUGAUAGGCAGCAUGUGUAAGCGCAGUAAUGCGUUCAGCUAAGCUGUACUAAUGGCCGAGGGCUUAAUCAC
Molecule: ribosomal RNA, 992 nt
Filed under: uncultured Chloroflexota bacterium
Lineage: Bacteria; Bacillati; Chloroflexota
Description: bacterial LSU rRNA
Rfam family: Bacterial large subunit ribosomal RNA
Source: RNAcentral